UACGUAGGGGGCAAGCGUUGUCCGGAUUUAUUGGGCGUAAAGAGCGUGUAGGCGGCUUUACAGGUCCGUUGUGAAAACUCGAGGCUCAACCUCGAGACGCCGGUGGAAACCGUAAAGCUAGAGUCCGGAAGAGGAGAGUGGAAUUCCUGGUGUAGCGGUGAAAUGCGCAGAUAUCAGGAAGAACACCCGCGGCGAAGGCGGCUCUCUGGGACGGUACUGACGCUGAGACGCGAAAGCGUGGGGAGCGAACAGG
This 253-nucleotide ribosomal RNA is filed under the name uncultured bacterium. RNAcentral describes it as "partial 16S ribosomal RNA". It matches the Rfam family "Bacterial small subunit ribosomal RNA", at positions 524 to 776 of the family's 1533-position model. The record is from RNAcentral.